This 2994-nucleotide long non-coding RNA is filed under the name Nicotiana benthamiana. Its description in RNAcentral is "long non-coding RNA (NBEN_LNC018153)". Lineage: Eukaryota; Viridiplantae; Streptophyta; Magnoliopsida; Solanales; Solanaceae. The record is from RNAcentral.
UUUGUUGGAAGACCAAUUUUGGGCCAAUUCUUGCAACAAAUCUGGCCCAAAAAAUUACCAAACCCACUAAAAUUAACCCAGACCCAACACCUUGCCCGGUUCAAAACCCCCAAAAACAAAACGACACCGUUUUAUGCCAAACAAUUUGAGCCGUUGAUCAAUCUUGAUCAAACGGUCAAGAUGCAAGGGUUGUUACCCUAUAUAAUUGUCAGACAACCCCCUACCAUUUAGACCUCGUACCAUGUCCAAAGAGCCCUACUCCCUCCGGUAUAACACCGCCGUGCACCCACCGUGUCCCCGCCGCCUGCCGCCGGCCGGAAAUCGCCGCCGCCCCAAAUUCACCCAAAUUUACACCACAGGUUCCCCGUCUUCUCCUCUUUCCAACCCCUCUAGAAUCACCACUCAAAACCCAGCCAAACACGCCGAAUAUCCCUCUAAAGUAGUGGCUGCUCCGCCGACUCCAAUGGCUUCCAAAUUAACACCUCAUACUCCCCUUGGCCUCCCCUACCCGAAAAUGAACCCAACUUCAUUCGAAUAACCCCCAAACUCGUCGAAUUUUAAAUCUGAGUCUUGACCUAAUUUUGAAGAUGAAUUUUUCAAAGCCGUUUGAGUUUCAAAACGGAGUUGCAUGUUUGUUUUGGCCAAAAAGAAACUUGUAACUCCAUUUGGAGACUCAAAUUGAAUCCAGCAAGCCUAAUUGAAGAUUCAACCAGUAAGUCUCCAUUUGUUUCCAUUUUUAUCUUUUAAUUUACCUCUUUGAUAGUAAAUUUAUCUUAUUUUAAGUUUUGAAUAUUAGUUUUAAUUAGAAACAUUGAAUAGUUUUACUAAGAUUUGAGUUUGAAUUUUGGUGACCAUUUGUUUUGUGUGCAUUUUUAUUGUUCUUCUGGUGAUCCCAUAGGUUUAGCUUCUAAUCAUGUUACCCAUUUCUUCAGCUUAAUAUCCAUGUUUGAUUUAGUCCUAAUUCCUGAACCUUCAUGUUUAUUGUUCAGCUUAGUUUAAUGUUCAACAAAUAGUUGGUAGUAGUUUGAAUAGGAAUCAGUUUCAAUUUUGAUUGUUCCAAAUGGUAUAUUGGCAUAGUAGUCACAACUUUGCAUGUUUUUUCUUUAAUUUCAGCAUUUAGUCAGUUUCAAUUUUGAUUGUUCCAAAUGAUAUAAUGGCAUGGUAGUCACAACUUUGUAUGUUUUUUCUUUUAAUUUCAACAGUUCUUUUGGUGAUCCCAUAGGUUUAGCUUCUAACCAUGUUACCCAUUUCUCUAGCUUAGUAUCCAUGUUUGAUUUAGUCCUAAUUCCCGAACCUUCAUGUUUAUUGUUCAGCUUAGUUUAAUGUUCAACAAAUAGUUGGUAGUAGUUUGAAUAGGAAUCAGUUUCAAUUUUGAUUGUUCCAAAUGGUAUAAUGGCAUGGUAGUCACAUCUUUGCAUGUUUUUUCUUAAUUUCAACAUUUAAUUUGAAUUUUUGGUCUAGUUGUGCUUUGAAUUUUGAAUUGGAUUUUUUUUUGUUAUUCCUGAUCAUUGGUUCAAGUUUAAUUAUGGUUUGGUUAUAGCUGACAAUUAGCUAGUAGUUAAUUUUAGGACUUAGCUGAGUUAAAUGGUAAUUUCAGUAUAUUAAAAGGAUAAUAUAGGAUUUUAAUUUGGUUUGGUACUUUUAGGAUUAAAAUAAGGGUAGUAUAUGUAUCCUAUAAAUAAGAAACAAUGCUAGAAUCUUUUAGACCCUUCUAGACGGGGAUUAUAGUUUAAAAAUGAGUAGUCUAGUGCAGCAACUUAGGAAACAAGCCAAAUAAUGAAGGACCAAGUAGGUAUAAUCUGAAAAUCAAAAGAGGGACUAGUAGUUAAAAUGAAAUAAAAGGGUUGCCCUAGCCCUUGGCUAAAAAAGGACCCCAUUUCAUUCAGAAAAAGUGGUUACGUAGUUAAAAUGAAAUAAAGGAUUGUCCUAGCCUUUGGCUAUAAAGACACCCAAUUCAUUCAAAAGAGAGAGGUUACACAAUCUGAAAAUCCUUAAGAAAAUUCCAGAUAUUUUAAACCCAACAAUCUCCAAAAACUCCUGAAAAGUGUCCAGAAAUCCUGGGUUUUCUAAGAAUUAUCGAACUUUCUGAAGUUCAGUGGAUUUUUCACUGUUCUAUUAGAUUACUUUUCCUGAAAAUAACUCUAAUUCCAGCUGUGCAGUAGAAGUUUAGCUAUAUAUGGAUGAAAAAUAGCCUGAAAAAUAUACAUUUAAAGAGUUGAGUUUCCAGCAUUGGCCUUGGGUUUAAUUUGAGUUUAUUAGGUCAUUGUUCAAGCUAUUUUGAGUUAAAUUGCUGAUUUAGUAUGGUGUGAAAAUCUUCCUGGGUUCCUGUUUAGCUGUUUAAGGUUCAUUUGUGCCAUUUGGUUGGGUUUUUACUGGUCUGAGCUUGGGUUUAAGCUUUCUCGGGAUAUUUGGUAGCAUUACUGGGUGUAUUAACUAUUCAUGAGCUUUGGAUUUUGUGGAUAUCACACUGGUUGAGCUUUGCUGACUCUCAGUGUUGUUUUUACACAGAUUCCAGGUACUUUUUCAAUCUCCCAUGAUGUAUGAAGUCUGAACGUAAUGAAUAUUCACGUUAAAGAAGCCUAUUAUAUGUUUUUCAUCAGCCUUAUUACUAUUAUAUUGUUAUAAUUGAGACAAUGGCUUGUAAUAAUUAAACAUUUAGACUGUGCUGAAUUAUUUUGAACCAUUUGGAUCAUUCAUUUUGUACCAUUCUGUACUUUAGUAGGAUAAGUCGUGGUAUUAGUAAUGGUGGAUUGCUUAAAUCCUUAUGUUUAAUUUAAUGGUGAAGAUAUUAUGUGUACACAUAUUUGGAUUCGUAUUGAUAGGAUUAUUAGUUGAGAUAUAAAAGUUUACCCUGAGUUUUACCCUGUUAGACGUUUUGGCAUGCUAAAAUGAUAAAAAUACAGGCAUUAAUAAAAUGAUUUGGAAGAGCUGUAACCUUGUGUUUUAUGGAAUGCUACUUUCGACCUUGAUUAAUUUGUUGUUUUACGUUUCUGG